GGACCAGCAGGGAAGCCAGGAACCCCAGGAGAUGAAGGAAACAUUGGACCUGAGGGUCCACCUGGGCCCAGAGGAACAAAUGGCCUCCCAGGGCCUCCUGGCCUACCUGGUCCACCAGGACCAAUGGGGCCUCCUGGUGCCACCACUGAGGGAAGUGGAGAAGCU
Molecule: long non-coding RNA, 165 nt
Organism: Thalassophryne amazonica
Lineage: Eukaryota; Metazoa; Chordata; Actinopteri; Batrachoidiformes; Batrachoididae
Exons: 3
Source: RefSeq, a predicted model, not a curated record